GGCGCACGGGUGCGUAACACGUGGGUAAUCUGCCUGGAAGACUGGAAUAACCUGCCGAAAGGCUGGCUAAUACCAGAUAAGCUCACGGGCUCUUCGGAGCCUGAGAGAAAAGGUGGCUCUGUAUACUAGCUAUCACUUCCAGAUGAGCCCGCGGGCCAUCAGCUAGUUGGGGGGGUAACAGCCCACCAAGGCAACGAGGGGUAGCUGGUCUGAGAGGACGAUCAGCCACCAAUGGGACUGAGACACGGUCCAGACUCCAUACGGGAGGCAGCAGUGGGGAAUCUUGCGCAAAUGGGCGAAAGCCUGACUGCAGCGACGCCGCGUGCGGGAAGAAGGCCUUCGGGUUGUAAACCGCUUUCAGGAGGGACGAAGCCACUCGGGUUAAUAGCCCAGAGGGUGACGGUACCUCCAGAAGAAGCCCCGGCUAACUACGUGCCAGCCGCCGC
This 446-nucleotide ribosomal RNA is filed under the name uncultured bacterium. RNAcentral describes it as "bacterial SSU rRNA". It matches the Rfam family "Bacterial small subunit ribosomal RNA", at positions 97 to 518 of the family's 1533-position model. The record is from RNAcentral.